Pan troglodytes (chimpanzee) is the source of this 682-nucleotide long non-coding RNA. RefSeq lists it as uncharacterized. The transcript has 4 exons. Lineage: Eukaryota; Metazoa; Chordata; Mammalia; Primates; Hominidae. The record is from RefSeq and is a predicted model, not a curated record.
CACUGUUUGUGAUAUGGUGUAUGACCUGGUCAAUCUUAGGCUCUGAAGCUCUCCCUGGUGGAAAUUUAUUUGGAUUGUUAAUUAUUUUUUAUAGUGCCAUUAUUGGGGGAAAAAUUUUACAACUCAUUAGAAUACCUUUAGUGCCUCCACUUCCACCUCUUCUUGGGAUGUUACUGGCUGGAUUUACAGUUAGGAAUGUUCCAUUCAUCAGUGAACAUGUCCAUGUUCCUAACGCAUGGUCUUCAAUUUUAAGAAGCAUUGCCCUUAACAUUAUUCUAAUACAAGCUGGGCUUGGACUCGAUCCACAGGCUUUGAGACAUUUGAAGGUGGUUUGUUUCAGAUUGGCUGUAGGUCCAUGCCUCAUGGAGGCAAGUGCUGCUGCUGUUUUUUCCCACUUCAUUAUGAAAUUUCCCUGGCAAUGGGCAAUUCUAUUAGGACAGAAUUGCCAAUACACAACACCGUUCACUUGACUUUGAAAAUGAAAAAGAGAAAAAGGGGGAGAAAGAGCAGAAUUGCUUUUGAAGUAGUACUUUAUUAUAGUACUUUUGAAGUUGCUUUUGAAGUACUACUUUAAUAUAAUUGAAUGUAUCAAAAUCUCUUUUUAUGUCUAAUGCCUUUGUAUGUAUCAAAAUCUCUUUUUAUGUCUAAUGCCUUUGUAUGUAUCAUUCAAAAGGUCCUUUUU